Molecule: long non-coding RNA, 2446 nt
Organism: Papaver somniferum (opium poppy)
Lineage: Eukaryota; Viridiplantae; Streptophyta; Magnoliopsida; Ranunculales; Papaveraceae
Exons: 2
Source: RefSeq, a predicted model, not a curated record
UCCCCUGUGCAAAACUGAAUUGUGUACACAUAUGCCCUUCAAAUCCCAUUCUCUCUCUGGUUCCUCCUCACUCCGAGGAUUCAAUGUGAAACUUUGAAACCCUAAUUUUUUCCAGAAAGAUUGGUUUAUUUCAAGAAUCAUCACUUCAUCUCUGAUUCCAACUCUCCAAAAACAAACCUGAUUUCACUCUCUAAGAAAAGUACAAUCUGAAUUCGAAGAAGAAGAAGAAGCAAUAAUGUCGAGCAUUCAGGAAGAGAGAUGUACCAUGAAAUCCUUUUAAGGUUACCAGUGAAUUCAUCAUUAAUUGUAUGUAAGUAUGUUUGUAGAAAUCGAUUAUUCCCUUAUUUCCAACCUCAUUUUUGUGACAAAUUUAAACCUAUUCUCAUGCUUCAAGGUUCUGAUAGUAAUCAACUUUACUCCAUAGGUUAUGAAUCAUCAGGGUGUGCAAUUGAAAAAUGUUGCUUUUGAAAUGGAUCAACCAUUUAAAUCUUUAGAUUAUGAUGUUGGGGUUCAUGUAAUGGUCUGGUUUGGAUAUGGUUGUUUCAUUUCAUUAUGUUGGCGGUGAUGGGGUUUUUCUUGUUGUUGGAACCAACUCACAAGAAAAUAUUAAGAAAUACCCACUAAAUCCCCUAAAAGUUUGAAGGCAUAAGUGCAUCUGGGUUUGAUUACAAGUUGGCAAUAGGUGCACAAAGUUGUGGAAGAAAGGGUACUGUUCUACUCAAAGUCUAUUCGUUAGCAUCAAAUUCAUGGAAAACUGAGAUUACCAUACCUUAUCUGGGGUUCUUGUUAAUGGCAACUACCAAAUGAUGUUAGGAUUCAUUUGGAAGUAUGACAGAUGCUGAAUUAUGGACUUCGAAAUUUUUGGAUUAGACGCUAUAUCACUACUCAUGAGAGCAUUAUUAAGGACCAUACAUAGUUAACUCCGUUGUGGUCUUUUCAGAUUCUAUUCUUGACUUCUGGUAGCCUAGUGUUGUAUGACACAGAACAUGGAAGUGUUCAAGAACGAAGUAGGCAUAAACAUUACUUUGAGGACAGCGUGAAUUAUUUGGACAGCUUAGUUUCUCUCAAGUCGGGUACUUGUGUUGAGAGGGAUGGAGGAUACAUGAAUUAUGAGAAACCUGAAGAAGGACAAUAAGCUUUGAGCGAAAGAAAAAGAAAAACAGGUGAAAUUGAGUAUCCUAUUGGGUUCAUGUUAUUACUACAUUUCUGCAAUUUUUGCCAUCGAAUUUUAGUGAAUUAUCAUCAUAAAAUUAGUACUAUGUUUCGUUUCGGAUUUCAUAUGUGUUCUUCUCAUUUUCAGACCCUUAAUGUAUAUCAUGGAUUCCUGAAUUCUCCGGGAGUGUUAAGAGUCAUGUUUAUAGAUGCUCUAUAAAAUUCUCCAUGUUCACAGUCAUUCUAUAUCAGAACAAUAUACUGAGUUGCUGAAAACAUGUUCGCAGUCAUUCCAUGUUUAUUGUUACUAAACUGAAUUGCUAAAAACCGAAACCACAAUUUUAUCAGAACAGUAACUUUCUUCGUUUAGUAACCUUUUGAUAGUCUAUGGUGACCCUGGAGGCUCUUGAAACAUGUAUUCCUGAAAUGUCACAGUAGAUUUAGGAAAUCUUACAGUCGAAAGGGAAAACAGUUUAUGAUGAUGCUGUUGAAAUGGAUCUCCCAUUCAGAACUUUAGAUUAUAAUGUUGCAUUAUCGUAAUUGAUUGGUUUGUAUUUGGAGGAGUUAUUAAGAAUUUUCUUUUUGUAUUUGGAAUCCUGUCUUUGAGUCUCUGGCAACAAUUUAAUACGAGAUGGAGAGAUUUGUGCCUAUUGAAUGUUAAAUGUAACGAUGCAUCUGUCUCUAAUUUAUUCCCACAGUCGAUCAAUGAAAAUACCUAUAUAUAUGCAUUUUCAUUUCCUUAGUUGAGCCUUAUAAGAUUCCGUUUGAGUUUCUUUAUCUUAUUGAUCGUGGUGGUGCCUCUCGGAGCUUGAGUAUGCUUUUUCCAGGGUUGAUAAACAUAAGAUGCCCUUUGCGGACUUGGCAAUAGAAACUAUUACCACCUCAAUGAUGCCCCUACGGUUGAAGGAUACUUAUGACCCCACACAGGUGCAUUGUUUCAAGGAAAUUAUAAUUUGCAAGGUAUUUGAGACUGAUUCAUCCGAAGAAUGAACAAAACCGACCAGCUUAUCCAGUCCAGUGCUUAUAAUCCAACACUCAUAAGUUGAUUCAGCUGCGCUAGACUAGUGUGUUGGAUUCAGACUUUAGAAGUUAACUACAGUUGUACGUUCUUUUGAUAAUCACUGUAACAUGCCCCAAACCAAAACCGAACACAAGGGGAGCCAGCCACACAUGUGGGCCUGGUUGAUUGGACUUGAAUUAUGUGAAUUGCUGCUGGUGCGUUGUCCCUGCUCAACGAUUUUAUCCUAACAGUUUAUAUGUCAGCAUUUCCAAUGAAUUGCUUCCGAAGUUGCCU